GCCCUCGUAGUGUAGUGGUUAUCACGUCUGCUUUACACGCAGAAGGUCCUCAGUUCGAACCUGAGCGGGGGCA
RNAcentral lists this transfer RNA (73 nucleotides) under Schistocephalus solidus. It matches the Rfam family "tRNA". Rfam says of the family: Transfer RNA (tRNA) molecules are approximately 80 nucleotides in length. Lineage: Eukaryota; Metazoa; Platyhelminthes; Cestoda; Diphyllobothriidea; Diphyllobothriidae. The record is from Rfam by way of RNAcentral.